Molecule: ribosomal RNA, 494 nt
Filed under: uncultured bacterium
Lineage: Bacteria
Description: partial 16S ribosomal RNA
Rfam family: Bacterial small subunit ribosomal RNA
Source: RNAcentral
GACGAACGCUGGCGGCGUGCCUAAUACAUGCAAGUCGAACGGUUUAGUUCCAAGAGGCUUGCCUUUUGGAACUAGACAGUGGCGGACGGGUGAGUAACACGUAGGCAACCUACCUGUCAAACCGGGAUAACCUCGGGAAACCGAAGCUAAACCCGGAUAAGCUCCUUUUUCGCAUGAAGGGGGAGUGAAAAGGUGCGACCUGAUGACAGAUGGGCCUGCGGCGCAUUAGCUAGUAGGUAGGGUAACGGCCUACCUAGGCGAUGAUGCGUAGCCGACCUGAGAGGGCGUACGGCCACACUGGGACUGAGAUACGGCCCAGACUCCUACGGGAGGCAGCAGUAGGGAAUCUUCGGCAAUGGGCGAAAGCCUGACCGAGCAACGCCGCGUGAGUGAGGAAGGCCUUCGGGUCGUAAAACUCUGUUGUUUGGGAAGAAGGGAAAGGGUAGGACCCUUAGGUGACGGUACCAAACGAGAAAGCCCCGGCUAACUACGUG